Molecule: long non-coding RNA, 565 nt
Organism: Lagopus leucura (white-tailed ptarmigan)
Lineage: Eukaryota; Metazoa; Chordata; Aves; Galliformes; Phasianidae
Exons: 3
Source: RefSeq, a predicted model, not a curated record
GCCCUGAUGAACGGGACAGAAGACCCUGUCUAGUCCUGGGGGAAGAGGCAGUACUGCACUUUGCAUCUAGAACUGGCAGCGGGAUGGACAGAAUUCUGCUCUGCGGUGACAGAACCCAGGAUGUGGGCAGCAUCCCUGGCUGAGCCCUUCUAGGGCCAAAGAAACGCGUAGUGGGCCUGAGGUGUAGAGCUGGGGUGGCCCUACUUUGAGCAAGGCCUGCUGAAGCGAAUCACGUUCUGCACUGUGUGCUCUGCAGCUCCUGAACAAAAUGGGCUGAGCUGGAAACAAAAGCUGGGCUUUGACUCCUGCUGCACUAGCUCAAGCAAGAGACAUGGGAGAACAGGCCCAAGGAAGGACUGGGUCAUAGCCCAGAGGUGCUUUCACACCCCUGUGGUUCUGCGACUGCAUGACUGAGGUUGGACGGACCUUCAGAGCUUUGCUGUGCUGCAUGUGUAUGGGAUGGGAUCACUGCUGCGGGGCCUCAAGGGGGUCAUGACUAGAAAUUUGAAUCAAUUUUUUUCUUUAGGAAGAUUCGACUUAAAAUGUCAUUAAUAAUUAAACUAUA